Motacilla alba alba is the source of this 133-nucleotide small nucleolar RNA. RefSeq annotates it as small nucleolar RNA SNORA8. The record is from RefSeq and is a predicted model, not a curated record. Lineage: Eukaryota; Metazoa; Chordata; Aves; Passeriformes; Motacillidae. The transcript has a single exon.
UGCAGUGUUACCUGCACCCAGCAGCCUUCUCCUUGAUGGGAUGUCAAAAAGCAGUGCUACACCAGCGCAGCAUUUGGCAUCCUUGGUUUUCAGUCUGCUGUCUGUUAAACCUGGUAUUUUUGCUGAAACAGUC